UUCUUCCUCUUCCCCAACUCGCCAAUCUCCUUCCUGCUGUUCCUCUUUCUCAUCUCCUAAGCCUCUUAAACAUUUCCUCAACCUCAUUCUCUCUAAAAAGCUCAUUCUUAGACUCUAGCUUGGAUGGCUACUCCCUUCUCUCCAACAACAUCGCUUCGGUCCAUUUUUCAAUCCAAGCCAAACCCUCCCAAAGCCUUCCUCUCUCUUCCAGGCUCGUCUCAUAGACUACACCACUGUGAUAGUGCCGAUGUGAGCUUCUAGACCAAUCCAUAGAGGGAAGAAAGUUGUAAUUGCAAAUUGCAGUGGUUUGUUCUUUUAGCAUUGGGAGGAAGACUGGAUGAGUAAAAACCACAGAGGAAGAAUAUGUUAUACCAAAAAUGGAGUCUCCUGACGGGCCCAGUGGUCAUUGCAAACUUACUUUUCAUUAAGAAUAAGAAGAAGAAGAAGCAAUCAGUGAAAGAGGAAAAUGUUGGAGUUGCCAUAGAAGAUCAAAGUGAUUGAAAGCCAUACAGUUUACAGCAGAGCUGUUGGUCUAGGAGGGAUGGCAAUCGGAGACCAAGAAAGAGGGAGGCUGAACUUCCAGUGGUUGAGUCUAUGCCAAAGGUGUUGCCAAAAGAUGAGGAUCCAAGUUUGGUUAGCAGAAAUAAAAGAAUGUUGGGGCAACUUUUAGUCUUAGAGCACGUGUUGCUGCCAAAACAGAAGAAAAGAAGCUAGAAUUAUUGUUUCUUCGAUGGAGUGAGCACCAUAAAAACUUUUCAAUUUUAUAAGAUGAAGAGAAGACACAUGGAGGAGCAAAUAAAGGAUGGAACACAGGAGACAAUCUAUGAUAGACAAGAUGAUGAGAUUAUUUAGAGACCUGCCAACGUCUCCACUUUUGCCUUCACCUUUAAUGGGACAGGAUUGAUGCUCUACCACUUCACACAAGAUAACUAUGGUGAUAGAUCAUGAUGUUGAUGAGCACAUUAGAGUGCUUGAGGAGGAGAUCGUGCACAUGAGGGCAAAUCAAGAGUGAAUUCUCUAGCAACACGUUGAGGAGGUAUCGCGCCUCAGGCAACAGAGUGAAGAACAGUUUGGCUCUAUGCAGGAAAAGAUGAGGCGUAUGAUGAGAUAGAUGGCAUCAUCAUCUGGCCCUUCAAGUGAUUCUGCUGAUCUCCAUUAUCAGAGCACAUCGAAUUUGUAGCUUGAUAUUGUUUAUAUACAUUUGCUAAUUAAACUUGUUACUUGUACGAUUAAUUUUAUACUUUUAUAUAAUAUAUUAUAUUUUUAUUUACUAA
Molecule: long non-coding RNA, 1274 nt
Organism: Hevea brasiliensis (rubber tree)
Lineage: Eukaryota; Viridiplantae; Streptophyta; Magnoliopsida; Malpighiales; Euphorbiaceae
Exons: 6
Source: RefSeq, a predicted model, not a curated record